UACGGAAGGCAGCAGUGGGGAAUACUUGCACAAUGGGCGAAAGCCUGAUGCAGCUAUGCCGCGUGUAUGAAGAAGGCCUUAGGGUUGUAAAGUACUUUCAUCGGGGAGGAAAAAACAAAACUAAUAAUUUUAUUUCUUGACGUUACCCGAAAAAGAAGCACCGGCUAACUCCGUGCCAGCAGCCGCGGUAAUACGGAGGGUGCUAGCGUUAAUCAGAAUUACUGGGCGUAAAGAGCACGUAGGUGGUUUUUUUAAGUCAGAUGUGAAAUCCCUGGGCUUAACCUAGGAACUGCAUUUUGAAACUGAAAUACUAGAGUAUCGUAGAGGGAGGUAGAAUUCUAGGUGUAGCGGUGAAAUGCGUAGAUAUCUGGAGGAAUACCUGUGGCGAAAGCGGCCUCCUAAACGAAUACUGACACUGAGGUGCGAAAGCGUGGGGAGCAAACAGGGAUUAGAUACC
RNAcentral lists this ribosomal RNA (457 nucleotides) under uncultured bacterium. RNAcentral's name for it is "bacterial SSU rRNA". It matches the Rfam family "Bacterial small subunit ribosomal RNA", at positions 340 to 786 of the family's 1533-position model. The record is from RNAcentral.